GGCUCAGGAUGAACGCUGGCGGCGUGCUUAACACAUGCAAGUCGAACGAAGCACUUUGAACAAUCCUCCGGGUGCGUUUCUUGUGACUGAGUGGCGGACGGGUGAGUAACGCGUGGGUAACCUGCCUCAUACAGGGGGAUAACAGUUAGAAAUGACUGCUAAUACCGCAUAAGCGCACAGUACUGCAUGGUACAGUGUGAAAAACUCCGGUGGUAUGAGAUGGACCCGCGUCUGAUUAGCUAGUUGGUGGGGUAACGGCCUACCAAGGCGACGAUCAGUAGCCGGCCUGAGAGGGUGAACGGCCACAUUGGGACUGAGACACGGCCCAAACUCCUACGGGAGGCAGCAGUGGGGAAUAUUGCACAAUGGGGGAAACCCUGAUGCAGCGACGCCGCGUGAGCGAUGAAGUAUUUCGGUAUGUAAAGCUCUAUCAGCAGGGAAGAAAAUGACGGUACCUGACUAAGAAGCACCGGCUAAAUACGUG
Molecule: ribosomal RNA, 484 nt
Filed under: uncultured bacterium
Lineage: Bacteria
Description: bacterial SSU rRNA
Rfam family: Bacterial small subunit ribosomal RNA
Source: RNAcentral